This 1370-nucleotide long non-coding RNA is filed under the name Apteryx rowi (Okarito brown kiwi). RNAcentral describes it as "lncRNA (ENSARWG00000018817.1)". The record is from RNAcentral. Lineage: Eukaryota; Metazoa; Chordata; Aves; Apterygiformes; Apterygidae.
GGAAAAACUGUCCCGAGAAGGUGCUGGCGAGCGACCGUGGCUUUUGCCAGGGCCGGGGAGGCUGGUAAUGUGCUGGUCCGUCAGUGCCGAGCGAAGGAGCAGAAAGGUGGGGAGGCGGAUGGGCGGCACAGGGCGGCCGCGGUGCCCGGCGGGCAGGAGGAGCCGAAGCCCCGAGGGCCGGCACGCGGCUCGGCUCCCAGCCCCGUGGCACGGGACGGAAGCAGCAGCCUCCGACAAACCAACCUUGCGUGUUUCUGUGCUGCGCAGAGAUGCAGCCCUGCAUCCUCGGCUCGAGAGCCAGCAGAAACUCUUGGAUCAUCUGUGCGUGCCGGCUGAGCCUCGCCAUGCCGCCCCGGCUGCCUUCACCUAAAGCAGCCCCAGGGAAGGCGCCAGCCCCAGUGAGAUGCCGCGCACGUCUUGUAUGGAAGAAAAUUGUGGCAGCAAGUAAUGCACCUGAUCYGAUUUUUUUUUUCAUUUAGCAAAGUUACGAAUUUCUCCGAGACGUUAAAGAAAACGCCUGAGUGCCCUCCUGCUCCCGCCAGGCGCCAGCGACCCUGCACACCGCGUGYGCAGAAAGGCAAACCAGCAGGGCCAGAUGGCUACGGAGCCGCAUUUUACAGGCUUGUAGCUCCAUCCCUCAAGCUCAGUGGGUUUGUCAGAAAUGCUUAAUCACAGCCUGAGUAGGCUAACAAACAAACAAAAAAAAAGAUCGUAUUCUUUCCUCAUGCACUGAAGCAUAUAGAGGACUUCUGGAGGCCAUAUGCAAAAAGAAAAAAGAAAAAAAAAGAAAAAAAAGGUUUGAAACCUGGGUUUGCACUCUUAUUGCUGAAAUUCCUACCGACCUGGUAGUUUCCCGACACCGUCCUUCUAAAACGUGAUGCGAGACCUCUGCGUUGUGUGGGCGAAGGACGUAGUGGAGGGGAGCAUCACCUGGGCUAUUCUCAUCUCACCGCUUUGUCUGYUCUGCUCCCGGGGGAAAUAUUAAAGCUGGUUUAACCGCCAGCCGCCUGCAGAGAGCACCGAGAUGGCCUCUCCGGCGGCAGACGCCGGUGUGGGGAGACCCUGCACCACCGCCGCCUCGGGGAGCCGCCUUGGUACCCGUCAUCGCACGGGGGAAAACGCCCACACAGCGGUAAUUAAAUUACCCUUCUCUCCAUGCACGCGUGCUAAGUGUCCAGGUUUUUAGCCAUUUUUUUCAAGACCCAGCCAAGAAACAGCACGUGACAUCCCCUUUUCAUGUCCCGUGUCCCCUGUGCGUCCUACGCUUCGUGUUACAAAGAACUAAAAACGUCGGUCACCUUAUGGCACCAUGCAGGACCUGAGCGCCGUUAAGCAACUGCAGGGGAAAAGGUGUAGCAGUCACCACCUCC